UCAGAGUACACUAUGGGUGUGUGCAAAGCACUUGAGAUAAGAGGAAGAAGCUAAGGACAGAACCGAGGAGGGCUCCGUCAGUUGCUGAGGUGAGAGAAAAGCCAGUGCUCCCCGAGAAUUGGCCAUGCUGGGACUGGGAGCACCCAACAGGAAGCCAACCAGCCAGCCUUUCCAGUGAGCCACCCAAGCUGCAUGGGUUCCAGAAAGAGAAAAGUCAGAUGGAACUCCCGAGAGCCUACCGUACACAGGCUAGGAAUCAACCUUCCCCCAUCAGCAACAGGGCGGUCAGAG
Molecule: long non-coding RNA, 291 nt
Filed under: Cavia porcellus (domestic guinea pig)
Lineage: Eukaryota; Metazoa; Chordata; Mammalia; Rodentia; Caviidae
Description: lncRNA (ENSCPOG00000036208.1)
Source: RNAcentral